Molecule: non-coding RNA, 83 nt
Rfam family: Burkholderia RNA 7 (anti-hemB)
About the family: This RNA motif was identified by computational search in b-proteobacteria Burkholderia.
UCCCCCGCUUCACCUCCCUGAGCGGGUGCCUUAUUCCUGUAAGGCAUGUUGCCCCCGGCCCCCCUUUGCCGGGGGCUUUUUUU